This 1085-nucleotide long non-coding RNA is filed under the name Homo sapiens (human). Its description in RNAcentral is "HSALNT0236459". Lineage: Eukaryota; Metazoa; Chordata; Mammalia; Primates; Hominidae. The record is from RNAcentral.
GACGUGAUGUGAGACUGGAUGUGGACUUCACUGGGUCAUGCAGCUGUCUCUAGGCCUGGUGGGUUCCAGUGCUAGCUGCUGUCUCUCUGUAGGCAUGACAAAGUGUCUGAGCUGAAGCAGUGAAGGGGAAGGAAAAUCCAGGAAUAACUUCCUUCAUGGAGAGAUCCAGAAUCAGCAAGUGCAGUCUUCCUUGAUGGGCCAGCUGAGUACCACUGAAUGAACAUCCUUCUUCUUCACCCUUGAUUCCCAUUCAUCCUUGUGGGGAGAGAAGGAUGAAGAAAGAGGAGCUUUAGGUCUUCUGCAAGUCAGACUCCAUUCAUUCACUGAGUACUGAGCCAGGCCACCUGCCAGGCACUGGGACCAUGAGAUGAAUCUUACCAGUCCCUGCCUUCAAGGAACUCACAACCUAUAGAGGAAGAGCGGACAGGCUGGGAAGUAGGAGGAGAUAGUGGCCUCCAGGCUCCUCCAUCCAGACAGUGCCAUGCGUGUCCAGCCCAAUCUCUCACCUGGCUGCUCCCAGAGCCUCUGACCUGUACUCCCUGCCUCCAGGCUUUUCGCCUCCAGCCCACUUUCCAACAGCAGCCGGAGAGCUCUCUUCAGAGGACAAACCUGACCAUGGCAACUCUGUCCAGAAUCCUUCAAUGCAUCGUUCCGGAUUUCAAGAUGAAGCCUGAGUUCCAGGCAGUUCCAGACUUGGCCCCGGUUCUCUCCUCCAGCCUCAUGGCUCCCCGCAUCCAUCCCCCAGUCCAUGUUCUGGCCAUACUGGUCCAUUUGCAGCACGCUUGCUUCCUCUGAAACUUGGACUUUUGCACACGUUAUCCUUUUUGGCAGGAACCCGCUCUUACCCCACCCCCUUCCUCUGGCUAACUCACCUUUCACAUAUGAUUAUGGCUUCCCUGCCACCCCACCACCCCCAGGAUAGGCUUCCAUCUCUUGCUCUUAUGAGACCCACCUCCAGUCAUGGCACUGGGUAACUGGCCUCCCUCAGUGAUUACUGCUUACUGAGUUAUCUGUCUUUCCCACCAGACUAUAAACUCCUUCAAGGCGGGAACUCCAUCUGUUUUGCACCCCAUUAUACCCCCACC